Molecule: ribosomal RNA, 115 nt
Filed under: Rickettsiales bacterium
Lineage: Bacteria; Pseudomonadati; Pseudomonadota; Alphaproteobacteria; Rickettsiales
Source: RNAcentral
UCUGGUGAUUAUUGAGCAUCAGUCACCCUCUGUUCCAUCUCGAACCAGACAGGGAAACGAUGUAUCGCCGAUGGUACUUUGGCUUAAGCCACGGAAGAGUAGGUCGUUGCCAGAA